CAGUCGCCGCGGGAAUACGUAGGUGGCAAGCGUUGUCCGGAAUUAUUGGGCGUAAAGGGCUCGCAGGCGGUUUCUUAAGUCUGAUGUGAAAGCCCCCGGCUCAACCGGGGAGGGUCAUUGGAAACUGGGAAACUUGAGUGCAGAAGAGGAGAGUGGAAUUCCACGCGUAGCGGUGAAAUGCGUAGAGAUGUGGAGGAACACCGGUGGCGAAGGCGACUCUCUGGUCUGUAACUGACGCUGAGGAGCGAAAGCGUGGAGAGCGAACAGGAUUAGAUACCCGUGUAGUCCCUGUCUCUUAUAC
This 301-nucleotide ribosomal RNA is filed under the name uncultured bacterium. RNAcentral's name for it is "partial 16S ribosomal RNA". It matches the Rfam family "Bacterial small subunit ribosomal RNA", at positions 509 to 807 of the family's 1533-position model. The record is from RNAcentral.